CGGUCAGAUAGGUCGGAAGCCCAAAUGUUUUGUGUUCCAUUCAACAAUUUGACCGUUCUGACCGGUCUGGCCGUGUUAAUGGAAAGCGCCCAUAGUCACAUCAGGGCCUGGUCACAUACAUGCAUGUGCUCUCAUAUAGGCGUAUCGACAUAAAAAAUGGGGAUGGGAGGGGGGGGGGCACUACUUCGCCGACUAAGACGAAAAUUGCCCGACUUUAAGAACCCAAAUUCACACGUUGGGCCAUCAUACUCUCAUGUCUGUAUUACAAAGGCAUAAUAUCCAUUUGACAUUAACAAAAUUGUCCAACUGUUGCGAAAAUUGUUUUAUCAUUUAUGCCAAAGUAUAUCCAGCCCUCCCUUCCCCCGCCUUGCACGCCUACAUGUGCCACUGCUACACGCAGUGACUUGAAUUAGUUAAAAGCUCACUCCUGGAUGAAAGAAUUCCCCAAGGCACAAGUGAGCAUGUCUAUAGUCUUAGAGAAUGGUUGUAUCCACGAAGGGAUUUCAGUUAUAUUCACUUAAAUUAAUUCUAAGAGGGCUUUAGUAUGCCGGGAUUUAAAGUCCGAGUGCGUUUGGAAAGAGCGAGCCUUCCUAAGUCUCCAAAUGCACACGGGACGUUGAAUCCCGGUAGCCUCCUCUGUCUCGUAUUCUUAAAGUUGCCAAACUUCUAGUACUUUGAAAUUAUGUAAAUUAUUUGAAAGUAUCCUGUAAGAUGUCUUUCUCUGUGGUUUCAAAACACUAAUUUAUAUCGAUUUAAUAAGUUCUUUGUACGUUUACAUGGCGAUAAAACAUAUAAUAGUUUUGUUUGUGGAAACACUACGUAUAUUUAUUACUGCAAAUUUAC
Paramuricea clavata is the source of this 843-nucleotide non-coding RNA. The record is from the annotation of a GenBank genome assembly. Lineage: Eukaryota; Metazoa; Cnidaria; Anthozoa; Malacalcyonacea; Plexauridae.